GAUGAACGCUGGCGGCGUGCCUAAUACAUGCAAGUAGAACGCUGAAGGAAGGAGCUUGCUCUUUCCGGAUGAGUUGCGAACGGGUGAGUAACGCGUAGGUAACCUGCCUGGUAGCGGGGGAUAACUAUUGGAAACGAUAGCUAAUACCGCAUAACAGUAGAUGUUGCAUGAUAUCUACUUAAAAGGUGCAAUUGCACCACUACCAGAUGGACCUGCGUUGUAUUAGCUAGUUGGUGAGGUAACGGCUCACCAAGGCGACGAUACAUAGCCGACCUGAGAGGGUGAUCGGCCAAACUGGGACUGAGACACGGACCAGACUCCUACGGGAGGCAGCAGUAGGGAAUCUUCGGCAAUGGACGGAAGUCUGACCGAGCAACGCCGCGUGAGUGAAGAAGGUUUUCGGAUCGUAAAGCUCUGUUGUAAGAGAAGAACGAGUGUGAGAGUGGAAAGUUCACACUGUGACGGUAUCUUACCAGAAAGGGACGGCUAACUACGUG
Molecule: ribosomal RNA, 497 nt
Filed under: uncultured bacterium
Lineage: Bacteria
Description: partial 16S ribosomal RNA
Rfam family: Bacterial small subunit ribosomal RNA
Source: RNAcentral